This 253-nucleotide ribosomal RNA is filed under the name uncultured bacterium. RNAcentral describes it as "partial 16S ribosomal RNA". It matches the Rfam family "Bacterial small subunit ribosomal RNA", at positions 524 to 776 of the family's 1533-position model. The record is from RNAcentral.
UACAGGGGGGGCAAGCGUUGUUCGGAAUUACUGGGCGUAAAGGGCCAGUAGGCGGCCAACUAAGUCCGACGUGAAAUCCCCAAGCUUAACUUGGGAACUGCGUCGGAUACUGGAUGGCUUGAAUUCGGGAGAGGGAUGCAGAAUUCCAGGUGUAGCGGUGAAAUGCGUAGAUAUCUGGAGGAAUACCGGUGGCGAAGGCGGCAUCCUGGACCGAGAUUGACGCUGAGGAGCGAAAGCUAGGGGAGCAAACGGG